GAAAGCACCGGUCUUGAAAACCGGCAUACGUUAAUAGCGUAUCUAGGGUUCAAAUCCCUAUCUCUCCGCCA
Molecule: transfer RNA, 71 nt
Filed under: Vibrio parahaemolyticus IDH02640
Lineage: Bacteria; Pseudomonadati; Pseudomonadota; Gammaproteobacteria; Vibrionales; Vibrionaceae
Also listed under: 2 other names
Description: partial tRNA-OTHER
Rfam family: tRNA
About the family: Transfer RNA (tRNA) molecules are approximately 80 nucleotides in length. Their secondary structure includes four short double-helical elements and three loops (D, anti-codon, and T loops). Further hydrogen bonds mediate the characteristic L-shaped molecular structure. tRNAs have two regions of fundamental functional importance: the anti-codon, which is responsible for specific mRNA codon recognition, and the 3' end, to which the tRNAs corresponding amino acid is attached (by aminoacyl-tRNA synthetases). tRNAs cope with the degeneracy of the genetic code in two manners: having more than one tRNA (with a specific anti-codon) for a particular amino acid; and 'wobble' base-pairing, i.e. permitting non-standard base-pairing at the 3rd anti-codon position.
Source: RNAcentral